UUCCGGUUGAUCCUGCCGGACCCCACUGCUAUCGGGAUGGGACUAAGACAUGCUAGUCGUGCGUCUCCAAGCCAUGGCGGAGACGCGGCGCACAGCUCAGUAACACGUGGCUAACCUGCCCUUAGGACAGGGACAACCCCGGGAAACUGGGGCUAAUCCCUGAUAGGUGAGGGUUCCUGGAAUGGGCCCUCGCCGAAAGGGCGCCUAGACCAUGCGUCUAGGCGCUGCCCAAGGAUGGAGCCGCGGCCGAUCAGGUUGUUGGUGAGGCAACGGCUCACCAAGCCUUUAACCGGUACGGGCCGUGAGAGCGGGAGCCCGGAGAUGGGUACUGAGACAAGGACCCAGGCCCUACGGGGCGCAGCAGUCGCGAAAACUCCGCAAUACGCGAAAGCGUGACGGGGCUAUCCCGAGUGCCGUCCGCUGAGGAUGGCUUUUCCCUAGUGUAUAAAGCUGGGGGAAUAAGGAGAGGGCAAGCCUGGUGUCAGCCGCCGCGGUAAUACCAGCUCUCCGAGUGGUGGGGAUGCUUAUUGGGCCUAAAGCAUUCGUAGCCGGUUGGGCAAGUCCUCCGUUAAAUCCAGCGAUUCAAUCGUUGGACUGCGGGGGAUACUGUCCGGCUUGGGGGCGGAAGAGGCCGACGGUAUUCUCGGGGUAGGGGUGAAAUCCUAUAAUCCCGGGAGGACCACCAGUGGCGAAGGCUGUCGGCUAGAACGCGCCCGACGGUGAGGGAUGAAAGCUGGGGGAGCGAACCGGAUUAGAUACCCGGGUAGUCCCAGCUGUAAACGAUGCAGGCUAGGUGUUGGCGCGGCUACGUGCCGCUCCAGUGCCGCAAGGAAGCCGUUAAGCCUGCCGCCUGGGAAGUACGGCCGCAAGGCUGAAACUUAAAGGAAUUGGCGGGGG
This 897-nucleotide ribosomal RNA is filed under the name uncultured archaeon. RNAcentral describes it as "bacterial SSU rRNA". It matches the Rfam family "Archaeal small subunit ribosomal RNA", at positions 1 to 874 of the family's 1478-position model. The record is from RNAcentral.